Molecule: ribosomal RNA, 525 nt
Filed under: uncultured bacterium
Lineage: Bacteria
Description: bacterial SSU rRNA
Rfam family: Bacterial small subunit ribosomal RNA
Source: RNAcentral
AAUAGAUACCCGGGUAGUCCACGCCGUAAACGGUGAGUGCUAAGUGUUAGAGGGUUUCCGCCCUUUAGUGCUGCAGCAAACGCAUUAAGCACUCCGCCUGGGGAGUACGGUCGCAAGACUGAAACUCAAAGGAAUUGACGGGGGCCCGCACAAGCGGUGGAGCAUGUGGUUUAAUUCGAAGCAACGCGAAGAACCUUACCAGGUCUUGACAUCCUCUGACAACCCUAGAGAUAGGGCUUCCCCUUCGGGGGGCAGAGUGACAGGUGGUGCAUGGUUGUCGUCAGCUCGUGUCGUGAGAUGUUGGGUUAAGUCCCGCAACGAGCGCAACCCUUGAUCUUAGUUGCCAGCAUUCAGUUGGGCACUCUAAGGUGACUGCCGGUGACAAACCGGAGGAAGGUGGGGAUGACGUCAAAUCAUCAUGCCCCUUAUGACCUGGGCUACACACGUGCUACAAUGGGCAGAACAAAGGGCAGCGAAGCCGCGAGGCUAAGCCAAUCCCACAAAUCUGUUCUCAGUUCGGAUCGC